CCCAAUUUCACGGUCCACUGAACAUAGAAAACGAUAGUGCGAGUGGGGCAUCCGUGUACUUGGGACAUAUUCUUCUUUGUCCAUAGAUUUACGAGUUUUGAACAGCGGUAUACUACUGUUGCCUUUAUUUAUCUCCAAACAUUUCUUUUUGGCAUACUAAAUGCCACAAAUGCAACCAAAACAAUAUCAAUACAAGCUCGACAGCUUAUUAGAGCACAGACAAGAUAAAACACAUGAUGAAAGAAUUGAUAGAAUUUUUUGUUAUAGGUUUAUUUAUGAUAUAUAUUGUUACAUACAUAUUUAUGAAUUAAGCUCAAGAUCUGUAUUUAAUCAUUUGUUUUGCAUUUUAUGUUUUUAAUUAUCUAGAUGACAUAAUAAACUAGAAAAAGAAAGCAUUUAUUAUAAUUUAACAUUUCAUUACAUAUAAUAUAAUAAACGUUACCA
This 444-nucleotide long non-coding RNA is filed under the name Mytilus galloprovincialis (Mediterranean mussel). The record is from RNAcentral. Lineage: Eukaryota; Metazoa; Mollusca; Bivalvia; Mytilida; Mytilidae.